Molecule: unclassified non-coding RNA, 506 nt
Filed under: uncultured Glomus
Lineage: Eukaryota; Fungi; Glomeromycota; Glomeromycetes; Glomerales; Glomeraceae
Description: SSU rRNA
Rfam family: Eukaryotic small subunit ribosomal RNA
Source: RNAcentral
AGCAGCCGCGGUAAUUCCAGCUCCAAUAGCGUAUAUUAAAGUUGCUGCAGUUAAAAAGCUCGUAGUUGAAUUUCGGGAUCAUCAUGUCGGUCGUGCCUCGGUACGUACUGGCAUUGUUGGUUUCUACCUUCUGACGAACCAUGAUGUCAUUUAUUUGGUGUCGUGGGAAAUCAGGACUGUUACUUUGAAAAAUUAGAGUGUUUAAAGCAGGCUCACGCUUGAAUACAUUAGCAUGGAAUAAUGAAAUAGGACGUUUGAUUCUAUUUUGUUGGUUUCUAGGAUCAACGUAAUGAUUAAUAGGGAUAGUUGGGGGCAUUAGUAUUCAAUUGUCAGAGGUGAAAUUCUUGGAUUUAUUGAAGACUAACUACUGCGAAAGCAUUUGCCAAGGAUGUUUUCAUUAAUCAAGAACGAAAGUUAGGGGAUCGAAGACGAUCAGAUACCGUCGUAGUCUUAACCAUAAACUAUGCCGACUAGGGAUCGGAUGAUGUUAAUUUUUAAUGUACUCU